Molecule: ribosomal RNA, 252 nt
Filed under: uncultured bacterium
Lineage: Bacteria
Description: partial 16S ribosomal RNA
Rfam family: Bacterial small subunit ribosomal RNA
Source: RNAcentral
UACGUAGGGUGCAAGCGUUAAUCGGAAUUACUGGGCGUAAAGCGUGCGCAGGCGGUCCGUUAAGACAGAUGUGAAAUCCCCGGGCUUAACCUGGGAACUGCAUUUGUGACUGGCGGACUCGAGUAUGGCAGAGGGGGGUAGAAUUCCAUGUGUAGCAGUGAAAUGCGUAGAGAUGUGGAGGAAUACCGAUGGCGAAGGCAGCCCCCUGGGCCCAAUACUGACGCUCAUGCACGAAAGCGUGGGGAGCAAACG